AGUGAACGCUGGCGGUAGGCCUAACACAUGCAAGUCGAACGGCAGCACAGUAAGAGCUUGCUCUUACGGGUGGCGAGUGGCGGACGGGUGAGGAAUACAUCGGAAUCUACUUUUUCGUGGGGGAUAACGUAGGGAAACUUACGCUAAUACCGCAUACGACCUACGGGUGAAAGCAGGGGAUCUUCGGACCUUGCGCGAUUGAAUGAGCCGAUGUCGGAUUAGCUAGUUGGCGGGGUAAAGGCCCACCAAGGCGACGAUCCGUAGCUGGUCUGAGAGGAUGAUCGGCCACACUGGAACUGAGCCACGGUCCAGACUCCUACGGGAGGCAGCAGUGGGGAAUAUUGGACAAUGGGCGCAAGCCUGAUCCAGCCCUACCGCGUGGGUGAAGAAGGCCUUCGGGUUGUAAAGCCCUUUUGUUGGGAAAGAAAAGCAGCAGGUUAAUACCCCGCUGUUCUGACGGUACCCAAAGAAUAAGCACCGGCUAACUUCGUG
Molecule: ribosomal RNA, 492 nt
Filed under: uncultured bacterium
Lineage: Bacteria
Description: partial 16S ribosomal RNA
Rfam family: Bacterial small subunit ribosomal RNA
Source: RNAcentral